AUGUUUUUCUGGUACCAGCUGUUGCUUGAAGAUCUACAAUAUCUCUUAGGAAGUGCAUUGGUGCCUGUAACACAGACUUCAAUUCUGAGUUUUUUACAUGAGAAAAAUUGCCAAAUUGAUGAAUCUGUUGUAAAUGAUUUGGCUGCUCUCCUUUGCACCUCCAAUCCAGUUCAAGCUGCCAUAGGGAAAAAUGGACCUCUAUCAACUAGCUUCAAACAAAAAGCUUACUAUACAAAAAAGUUUUGUGUUGUUGAACCAAUAGAAUAUGUUUUAGAUCAGAAAAACAGGAAGUCUUUUCAGUAUGUGCCUGUGUUGAAAUCUCUGCAAAAUUUGUUAGAUUUUGAUGCUGUAUUACAAGAGACUACACAUUUGAAGGAAAGAUAUAAGGGGACAGAGAGUGAUAAGGUUUACAAGUCAGUUUGGGAUGGACUUUUGUCUCAACAAAACAAGAUUCUCUCAGAGGAUUGUGCAAUUUCAUUGAUUCUAUACAUAGACGAAUUUGAGGUCUGUAAUCCUCUUGGAACGUCACGCAAAAAGCAUAAAGUUUGCGCAUUGUAUUGGAUUUUGGGAAACUUGCCUACUGCUUACCACUCUGCACUGUCCUCCAUCCAGUUAGCAGCCUUAAUCAAUAGCAAUGAUGUUAAGGCUUAUGGUUACGCAAAGGUAUUAGAGCCCCUAAUUAAUGAUCUUCUCAUUUUAGAGAACUCUGGGGUUUUUUUGCAGAAGUUGGGGAAAACACUAAAAGGUACACUGUUUUGUGUUGUAGCUGACAAUCUCGGUGCACACAGCAUAGGUGGAUUUGUUGAAAACUUUUCUGGCAGAUAUGCAUGUUGUUUCUGCACUGGUGAAAGACAAGAUUUUCAAACAAAAGACGUGGCAAGUGGAGGCUUCGUUUUAAGAUCUGAAACUGAUCACAAAACACACUUAAAAAUCCUUGAGGACAAUUCCAUAACCUGUUUUGGUGUUAAGAGGAAGUGUGUACUAUCUGAAAAGCUUUCAUCUUUCAAUGUUACAAAAUGUUUUCCACCUGACAUUGUACAUGAUUUGUUUGAGGGCAUUGUCCCUGUUGAAAUAGCUCUGACUUUGAAUGUGCUCAUUGAUAAAAAGUAG
This 1110-nucleotide long non-coding RNA is filed under the name Gouania willdenowi (blunt-snouted clingfish). RNAcentral describes it as "lncRNA (ENSGWIG00000010613.1)". The record is from RNAcentral. Lineage: Eukaryota; Metazoa; Chordata; Actinopteri; Blenniiformes; Gobiesocidae.